Molecule: ribosomal RNA, 393 nt
Filed under: uncultured bacterium
Lineage: Bacteria
Description: bacterial SSU rRNA
Rfam family: Bacterial small subunit ribosomal RNA
Source: RNAcentral
GUGUCAGCCGCCGCGGUAAGACGAACCGUGCGAACGUUGUUCGGAAUCACUGGGCUUAAAGGGCGCGUAGGCGGGCGGUCAAGUCUGUGGUGAAAUCCUUCGGCUCAACCGGAGAAUAGCUGGAGAUACUGGCCGUCUCGAGGGGGGUAGGGGCAUGUGGAACUUCCGGUGGAGCGGUGAAAUGCGUAGAUAUCGGAAGGAACGCCGGUGGCGAAAGCGACGUGCUGGACCCUUUCUGACGCUGAGGCGCGAAAGCCAGGGGAGCAAACGGGAUUAGAUACCCCGGUAGUCCUGGCCCUAAACGAUGGGUACUAGAUUGUGGGCUAACAUGGGUUCACAGUCGAAGCAAAAGUGUUAAGUACCCCGCCUGGGGAGUAUGGUCGCAAGGCUGAA